GGAUCAUUACCUGUGAAGUAGCCCCCUCGGGGACUACUCCAUACACCCUUUGUCUAUGAGUACCACUUGUUAUCCUCGGCGGGCUCGCCCGUCGGUGGAACCACUUAAAACCCUUGCAUUAUAGUAUUGUAAACCUCUGAUAACCCUUAAAUUAUUACAACUUUUAACAAUGGAUCUCUUGGUUCUGGCAUCGAUGAAGAACGCAGCGAAAUGCGAAAAGUAGUGUGAAUUGCAGAAUUCCGUGAAUCAUCGAAUCUUUGAACGCACAUUGCGCCCCUCGGUAUUCCGUGGGGCAUGCCUGUUCGAGCGUCAUUUACACCUUCAAGCCCUGCUUGGUGUUGGGCGUCUGUCCUGCCUCACGGCGGGACUCGCCUCAAAGUUAUUGGCAGCGGUCGUGCCGGCUUCUCGCGCAGCGAAUUUGCGCUUCCCGAAGCCUGGUGGAUCGGCAUCCAGUAAGCUCCCCUUGAAUUGACCUC
Molecule: ribosomal RNA, 476 nt
Filed under: fungal sp. EXP0572F
Lineage: Eukaryota; Fungi
Description: eukaryotic LSU rRNA
Rfam family: 5.8S ribosomal RNA (bases 159-312)
Source: RNAcentral